GUAACAAGGUUUCCGUAGGUGAACCUGCGGAAGGAUCAUUAAGUAAUUUGAUAUACUUCGGUAUAUUCUCUUUUACUGUGAACUGUAUUAUUGCAUGACGCUUGAGGGAUGUCUAUAGAUCAUAUGGGUAGGUCUAGAGAAUGUUAACCGAGUCAUGAUCAAGCUUAGGCUUGUUGCCCUAUUAUUAUUUACCAAAAGAAUUCAGUAUUAAUAUUGUAACAUAGACGUAAAAAAUCUAUAAAACAACUUUUAACAACGGAUCUCUUGGUUCUCGCAUCGAUGAAGAACGUAGCAAAGUGCGAUAACUAGUGUGAAUUGCAUAUUCAGUGAAUCAUCGAGUCUUUGAACGCAUCUUGCACUCAUUGGUAUUCCAAUGAGUACGCCUGUUUCAGUAUCAAAAACACCCCACAUUCAAAUCUUUUUUUGAAUGGAACUUGGAGUUACAGUUUUACGACCGUACUCUUUAAUUAUAUUAGGCCUGAUCUUGUUUAGACUGCCUGAACUUUUUUUUAAUAUAAAGGAAAGUUUUGACAAAAUAAACUGUGCUGGGGCCUUUAAACAAUCUUUCUUAAACUUGAUCUGAAAUCAGGCGGGAUUACCCGCUGAACCUAAGCAUAUC
RNAcentral lists this unclassified non-coding RNA (619 nucleotides) under Mucor abundans. Its description in RNAcentral is "sequence contains 18S rRNA gene, ITS1, 5.8S rRNA gene, ITS2, 28S rRNA gene". The stretch from base 245 to 397 matches the Rfam family "5.8S ribosomal RNA". Lineage: Eukaryota; Fungi; Mucoromycota; Mucoromycetes; Mucorales; Mucoraceae. The record is from RNAcentral.